Molecule: ribosomal RNA, 492 nt
Filed under: uncultured bacterium
Lineage: Bacteria
Description: partial 16S ribosomal RNA
Rfam family: Bacterial small subunit ribosomal RNA
Source: RNAcentral
AGUGAACGCUGGCGGUAGGCCUAACACAUGCAAGUCGAACGGCAGCACAGUAAGAGCUUGCUCUUACGGGUGGCGAGUGGCGGACGGGUGAGGAAUACAUCGGAAUCUACUUUUUCGGGGGGGAUAACGUAGGGAAACUUACGCUAAUACCGCAUACGACCUACGGGUGAAAGCAGUGGAUCUUCGGACCUUGCGCGAUUGAAUGAGCCGAUGUCGGAUUAGCUAGUUGGCGGGGUAAAGGCCCACCAAGGCGACGAUCCGUAGCUGGUCUGAGAGGAUGAUCAGCCACACUGGAACUGAGACACGGUCCAGACUCCUACGGGAGGCAGCAGUGGGGAAUAUUGGACAAUGGGCGCAAGCCUGAUCCAGCCAUACCGCGUGGGUGAAGAAGGCCUUCGGGUUGUAAAGCCCUUUUGUUGGGAAAGAAAAGCAGCAGGUUAAUACCCCGCUGUUCUGACGGUACCCAAAGAAUAAGCACCGGCUAACUUCGUG